Molecule: long non-coding RNA, 504 nt
Organism: Cercocebus atys (sooty mangabey)
Lineage: Eukaryota; Metazoa; Chordata; Mammalia; Primates; Cercopithecidae
Exons: 3
Source: RefSeq, a predicted model, not a curated record
GAAUUCUCCUGCCUCAGUUUCCCAAGUAGCUGAGAUUACAGGUAAGGAGUGAGUCCGUGGAGCUCCACAGCUGCCAUUCCAGAGGGUAUAAUCUUCAUGAGCGUAGAGCUUUAUCUCUUAUUCACAUCUAAAUCCCAUCGAUACUUAAAAUGCAAGAUUUUUUGCUCAGUAAGUUGUGUUUCAAGAAAUAGGCGAAUAACAGGUGAGUGUCCUUCCUCAUUAAAUGAUUUUCCUCUCCUAGUCACAUUUAAAAACCGACAACAAUAAGAACUAUUUACAUUAUUUUGUCACUUUUUUGUUUGUUUGUUUCCAGCCUCAAUUUGAAAGAUGUAUCUCCAGCUGAAAUGUAUCACCUCAUGUAGUGGAUGCUAUGAUGUGUCAUUUUCUGCUCCUCCCUCUGCAAAUGUUGAUCCCAAGGAAAUUCCUUAAUAAAUCUCUCCUGGCUGAGCACCGUGGCUCAUGCCUGUAAUCCUAGCACUUUGGGAGGCCGAGGUGGGUGGAUCA